UCCGCCGCAGCGGCGAGCCGGGAACGCCCGCUGACGACUGACAACACGGGCCUGUGGCGUGCCCCGGCCGGGAACAGCCGGCCACGACCGGGGAACAACAACAGGCACCGCUUAUCCAUUGAGUAGGUGGAUUUCCUCAGGAUGUUCACUGUUGUUUCACCCUUCUCAAGCUCCUGCAGUAAUACAACGAAGAAACUACCUACACACAGCCACACAAGCCGAGUUUUUUUGGUAAAAAGCCCUACAGGUGGAAAAAGCACAUAUGUGACGGGAAAAAAGAAAAUCACCUUCCCACCUUUCCUCGGCUCCAGCAAAAUAGAAAUUAAAAAUAAAUCGCUACACCACCCCCAA
Catharus ustulatus (Swainson's thrush) is the source of this 351-nucleotide long non-coding RNA. RefSeq lists it as uncharacterized. The record is from RefSeq and is a predicted model, not a curated record. The transcript has 2 exons. Lineage: Eukaryota; Metazoa; Chordata; Aves; Passeriformes; Turdidae.